CCUACGGGAGGCAGCAGUGAGGAAUCUUGGUCAAUGGACGCAAGUCUGAACCAGCCAUGCCGCGUGCAGGAAGACGGCUCUAUGAGUUGUAAACUGCUUUUGUACGAGGGUAAACUCAGAUACGCGUAUCUGUCUGAAAGUAUCGUACGAAUAAGGAUCGGCUAACUCCGUGCCAGCAGCCGCGGUAAUACGGAGGAUUCAAGCGUUAUCCGGAUUUAUUGGGUUUAAAGGGUGCGUAGGCGGUCGGAUAAGUUAGAGGUGAAAUCCCGAGGCUCAACUUCGGAAUUGCCUCUGAUACUGUUAGGCUAGAGAGUAGUUGCGGGAGGCGGAAUGUAUGGUGUAGCGGUGAAAUGCUUAGAGAUCAUACAGAACACCGAUUGCGAAGGCAGCUUACCAAGCUACGUCUGACGUUGAGGCACGAAAGCGUGGGGAGCAAACAGGAUUAGAUACCCCUGUAGUC
This 460-nucleotide ribosomal RNA is filed under the name uncultured bacterium. Its description in RNAcentral is "partial 16S ribosomal RNA". It matches the Rfam family "Bacterial small subunit ribosomal RNA", at positions 338 to 795 of the family's 1533-position model. The record is from RNAcentral.